UGGGGAAUUUUGCACAAUGGGGGAAACCCUGAUGCAGCGACGCCGCGUGUACGAUGAAGAUCUUCGGAUUGUAAAGUACUGUCCUUGGUGAAGAUAAUGACUGUAACCAAGAAGCAAGCCCUGGCUAAAUACGUGCCAGCAGCCGCGGUAAUACGUUUGGGGCAAGCGUUGUCCGGAAUUAUUGGGCGUAAAGGGUACGUAGGCGGUUAUUUAAGUCUAAAUUAAAAGGCAUUGGCUCAACCAAUGUAAGGUUUAGAUACUGGAUAACUUGAGUAGAUGAGGGGAAAGUGGAAUUCCAUGUGUAGCGGUGAAAUGCGUAGAUAUAUGGAGGAACACCAAUGGCGAAGGCAACUUUCUGGAAUCAAACUGACGCUGAGGUACGAAGGCGUGGGGAGCAAACAGG
RNAcentral lists this ribosomal RNA (403 nucleotides) under Fusobacteriota bacterium. RNAcentral describes it as "Fusobacteria bacterium partial 16S ribosomal RNA". It matches the Rfam family "Bacterial small subunit ribosomal RNA", at positions 355 to 776 of the family's 1533-position model. The record is from RNAcentral. Lineage: Bacteria; Fusobacteriati; Fusobacteriota.